RNAcentral lists this ribosomal RNA (253 nucleotides) under uncultured bacterium. RNAcentral's name for it is "partial 16S ribosomal RNA". It matches the Rfam family "Bacterial small subunit ribosomal RNA", at positions 524 to 776 of the family's 1533-position model. The record is from RNAcentral.
UACGAAGGGUGCAACCGUUGCUCGGAAUUAUUGGGCGUAAAGCGCACGUAGGCGGCUUAGCAAGUUGGAUGUGAAAUCCCCGGGCUCAACCUGGGAAUGGCAUUUGGGACUGCAAGGCUUGAGUGCGGCAGAGGAGACUGGAAUUCCUGGUGUAGCAGUGAAAUGCGUAGAUAUCAGGAGGAAUACCGAUGGCGAAGGCAGGUCUCUGGGCUGACACUGACGCUCAUGCACGAAAGCGUGGGGAGCAAACAGG